Molecule: non-coding RNA, 21 nt
Filed under: Caenorhabditis elegans
Lineage: Eukaryota; Metazoa; Nematoda; Chromadorea; Rhabditida; Rhabditidae
Source: RNAcentral
UGCUACCCAUUUCUCGUAACA